CUCUCAAGGAGGUUCCAAUUCCCAUGUGUGUGAUAUAGGCCUCUGGAAACAUGUCAGGUUGCAUGUUUCAUUUAUUGAAUAAGUAUUUAUGGAGCACCUACUCUGCAUAUAUAUGUGAGAGUGUGUGGUUCAGUGGCCAAAAGUGUGGGCCCUGGAAUCAGGCUGCCUGAUUCAAACCCUGACUCUGCCAUUUGCCGGCUGAGUUAGCCUUGGACUUGGACAAAUGAAUAAUUAAAAAUCCUGUCCAUCAAUCUCCUCACUUAUAAAACUGAGAUAACAGUAGCACCCACUUCUUAUAAAUCCUAUGCGGAUUAAGGAGUUAACACAGGAGAUGCACCUCAACAGUGCCUGGUGUACACUGGCCUUGAUAAGUAUCAGCUAUGUCUUCCCUGGCACGGGCUGGUGUCCACUAAUAAAUAGGGUGAAUUAGCAACUUAUCGUUUCAUAUCCCUUAUCCGGCCUGUUCUACUUGAUCCACAUCUCCAAAGAAAUAAAUUGAGUAGAGCAUUCUUCUAUUUAUUAUUUUUCCAUUUAGCCUAAGGUAUACAACCAAGGACACAAUAAACUGUUCAUUGUGCCUCAGUCUUUCCAAGCUGUUUACCAUAAUUAACUUUAGGGUCCAAUAGGACAAAUGAUUUUUAAAGAUAGUUUGUUCUACCUUCAACAAGGAAAAUUCUAACCUUCCAAUGUGUAAUCCUGUUCUUCAUAAUAAGGAUACCAAACCUUUAUUGAGUAUUUACUGUAUGCUAGGUAUUAUGUUAAGCACUUAGAAACUUUCUCUCUUAAUCCUUAGAAAAAUCUUAUGAAGUGGGUGUUAGUUGCCCCUGUUUAUAGAUGAGGAAAGUGAAACUGAUAAGGACUACUAUCCUGACUAAUUUCACACAUGUAAUAGAGUAACACCAGCUACUAUAACAGCAAACCCCAAAUCUCAGUGGCUUAUCAAAGUAAAACUUUCUUGCUCCUGUCCCAGCCUGAUGCAGGACAGUAAGAGCGGGAGGGUGAGUGAGCUGUGCUACCUGAAGUCAUUCAAGGACGCAGACUCCUUCUGUCUUCUGGGUCCAUUUUCAAGUUCACUCCAGUCUUCUCCCUUCAGCCAGCUGAGUGAGGAUUACAUAUGCAAAGCCCAGGCUAAUCUCCUUGACGAUGACAGACCAGAUGGUUUGAGAGAUCCAGCCAUCCCAGCUGUCCCAGCAAUCUCAGCUGAGCCCAGACACAUGAGUGAAGCCAGCCAGCACCAGCCAGUCUCCAGCCAAUUCACCAACUGA
RNAcentral lists this long non-coding RNA (1265 nucleotides) under Callithrix jacchus (white-tufted-ear marmoset). RNAcentral's name for it is "lncRNA (ENSCJAG00000079595.1)". Lineage: Eukaryota; Metazoa; Chordata; Mammalia; Primates; Cebidae. The record is from RNAcentral.